AUUCAGCAAGAAAGAAACUCCCAUCUGCAUACCAGCUUCAGAAAUGGCAAACCUGGAAUUUCAGACUUCAGCAGCAGUGAAACUCUGCUGGAAGAUAUGGCUCCAAUUUCCAUGCCGGAAGCAAUGUGCUGGGGGAUACCCUCCUCCCACCUCCCACCAGGACUUGUUAACAGCAGGUGAUCUAAAGAAUAGUUUUCUUAUAACAAAUGAUGCAGUGCAACAGAACCUACAUUCAAGCAGUAAGAGCAGCUCAUGUAACUCUGUGCUGAUGGUGACUUCUGAGUACUCUGGAUGCAAGCUGGAGCCAGAUGUUGGAGCCAUUUGA
RNAcentral lists this long non-coding RNA (325 nucleotides) under Junco hyemalis (dark-eyed junco). RNAcentral describes it as "lncRNA (ENSJHYG00000001664.1)". Lineage: Eukaryota; Metazoa; Chordata; Aves; Passeriformes; Passerellidae. The record is from RNAcentral.